This 464-nucleotide ribosomal RNA is filed under the name uncultured Alphaproteobacteria bacterium. Its description in RNAcentral is "bacterial SSU rRNA". It matches the Rfam family "Bacterial small subunit ribosomal RNA", at positions 9 to 521 of the family's 1533-position model. The record is from RNAcentral. Lineage: Bacteria; Pseudomonadati; Pseudomonadota; Alphaproteobacteria.
GAGUUUGAUCAUGGCUCAGAACGAACGCUGGCGGCAGGCUUAACACAUGCAAGUCGAACGCCCCGCAAGGGGAGGUGGCAGACGGGUGAGUAACACGUGGGAACGUGCCCUAAGGUUUGGAAUAUUCCCGGGAAACUGGGAGCAAUACCAAAUGUGUCCGUAAGGAGAAAGAUUUAUCGCCUUAGGAUCGGCCCGCGUCAGAUUAGGUAGUUGGUGGGGUAAUGGCCUACCAAGCCGACGAUCUGUAGCUGGUCUGAGAGGACGACCAGCCACACUGGGACUGAGACACGGCCCAGACUCCUACGGGAGGCAGCAGUGGGGAAUCUUGGACAAUGGGCGAAAGCCUGAUCCAGCCAUGCCGCGUGGAUGAUGAAGGCCCUAGGGUUGUAAAAUCCUUUCGUUGGGGACGAUAAUGACGGUACCCAAGAAGAAGCUCCGGCUAACUUCGUGCCAGCCGCCGCGGU